UGAGUAACACGUAUCCAACCUGCCGUCUACUCUUGGACAGCCUUCUGAAAGGAAGAUUAAUACAAGAUGGCAUCAUGAGUCCGCAUGUUCACAUGAUUAAAGGUAUUCCGGUAGACGAUGGGGAUGCGUUCCAUUAGAUAGUAGGCGGGGUAACGGCCCACCUAGUCUUCGAUGGAUAGGGGUUCUGAGAGGAAGGUCCCCCACAUUGGAACUGAGAUACGGUCCAA
This 227-nucleotide ribosomal RNA is filed under the name uncultured bacterium. RNAcentral describes it as "partial 16S ribosomal RNA". It matches the Rfam family "Bacterial small subunit ribosomal RNA", at positions 107 to 334 of the family's 1533-position model. The record is from RNAcentral.